AGAGUUUGAUCCUGGCUCAGGAUGAACGCUGGCGGCGUGCUUAACACAUGCAAGUCGAACGAAGCGCUUAAGAACGAUUCUUCGGAUGAAGUCUUUUGUGACUGAGUGGCGGACGGGUGAGUAACGCGUGGGUAACCUGCCUCACACAGGGGGAUAACAGUUGGAAACGACCGCUAAUACCGCAUAACCCGCUGGUAUCGCAUGAUACUGACGGAAAAGAUUUAUCGGUGUGAGAUGGACCCGCGUCUGAUUAGCCAGUUGGCAGGGUAACGGCCUACCAAAGCGACGAUCAGUAGCCGGCCUGAGAGGGUGAACGGCCACAUUGGGACUGAGACACGGCCCAAACUCCUACGGGAGGCAGCAGUGGGGAAUAUUGCACAAUGGGGGAAACCCUGAUGCAGCGACGCCGCGUGAGUGAAGAAGUAUUUCGGUAUGUAAAGCUCUAUCAGCAGGGAAGAAAAUGACGGUACCUGACCAAGAAGCCCCGGCUAACUACGU
This 498-nucleotide ribosomal RNA is filed under the name uncultured Lachnospiraceae bacterium. RNAcentral's name for it is "bacterial SSU rRNA". It matches the Rfam family "Bacterial small subunit ribosomal RNA", at positions 8 to 506 of the family's 1533-position model. The record is from RNAcentral. Lineage: Bacteria; Bacillati; Bacillota; Clostridia; Lachnospirales; Lachnospiraceae.